UACGUAGGGGGCAAGCGUUGUCCGGAAUCAUUGGGCGUAAAGAGCGUGUAGGCGGCCCGGUAAGUCCGCUGUGAAAGUCAAAGGCUCAACCUUUGAACGCCGACGGAUACUGCCGGGCUAGAGUCCGGAAGAGGCGAGUGGAAUUCCUGGUGUAGCGGUGGAAUGCGCAGAUAUCAGGAGGAACACCAAUAGCGAAGGCAGCUCGCUGGGACGGUACUGACGCUGAGGCGCGAAAGCGUGGGGAGCGAACAGG
This 253-nucleotide ribosomal RNA is filed under the name uncultured bacterium. Its description in RNAcentral is "partial 16S ribosomal RNA". It matches the Rfam family "Bacterial small subunit ribosomal RNA", at positions 524 to 776 of the family's 1533-position model. The record is from RNAcentral.